This 466-nucleotide ribosomal RNA is filed under the name uncultured bacterium. RNAcentral's name for it is "partial 16S ribosomal RNA". It matches the Rfam family "Bacterial small subunit ribosomal RNA", at positions 28 to 507 of the family's 1533-position model. The record is from RNAcentral.
GAUGAACGCUGGCGGCGUGCUUAACACAUGCAAGUCGAACGGAAAGGCUCCCGCUUGCAGGGGUACUCGAGUGGCGAACGGGUGAGUAACACGUGGGUGAUCUGCCCUGCACUUCGGGAUAAGCCUGGGAAACUGGGUCUAAUACCGGAUAGGACGAUGGUUUGGAUGCCAUUGUGGAAAGUUUUUUCGGUGUGGGAUGAGCUCGCGGCCUAUCAGCUUGUUGGUGGGGUAAUGGCCUACCAAGGCGUCGACGGGUAGCCGGCCUGAGAGGGUGUACGGCCACAUUGGGACUGAGAUACGGCCCAGACUCAUACGGGAGGCAGCAGUGGGGAAUAUUGCACAAUGGGCGCAAGCCUGAUGCAGCGACGCCGCGUGGGGGAUGACGGCCUUCGGGUUGUAAACGCCUUUCGCUAGGGACGAAGCGCAAGUGACGGUACCUGGAGAAGAAGCACCGGCUAACUACGUG